UGGAAUAACAAAUACGAUAAG
Molecule: non-coding RNA, 21 nt
Organism: Caenorhabditis elegans
Lineage: Eukaryota; Metazoa; Nematoda; Chromadorea; Rhabditida; Rhabditidae
Source: Ensembl